UUUAUGUCCGGUGAAGUGUUCGGAUCGCGGCGACGUGGGCGGUUCGCUGCCCGCGACGUCGCGAGAAGUCCACUGAACCUUAUCAUUUAGAGGAAGGAGAAGUCGUAACAAGGUUUCCGUAGGUGAACCUGCGGAAGGAUCAUUGUCGAAACCUGCAUAGCAGAACGACCCGCGAACAAGUUUGUAACUCCUUAUUCUCGAACGGGAUUAGUCUUCUCCUUAUGGUAGGGCUAAUCCUGGACGAACAACGAACCCCCGGCGCGGAAUGUGCCAAGUAAUACCAUAACUAGACUGUCUGCCCCCCGUGCUCCGUUUGCGGAACCUGCGGGGGGUCUCGACGUCUUAAUUAACAAAAAACGACUCUCGGCAACGGAUAUCUCGGCUCUCGCAUCGAUGAAGAACGUAGCGAAAUGCGAUACUUGGUGUGAAUUGCAGAAUCCCGUGAACCAUCGAGUCUUUGAACGCAAGUUGCGCCCGAAGCCGUCAGGCCGAGGGCACGUCUGCCUGGGCGUCACGCAUCGCGUCGUCCCCAUUCUCAACCUCGUGUCGAGCAAUGGGGAGCGGAAGAUGGCUUCCCGUGCCCCAAAUCAGGACGCGGUUGGCCCAAAUGCUAGUCCCUGGCGAAGGACGUCACGGCGAGUGGUGGUCGUACCCAGCGUGCAUAUCGUCACGUCGUGGCCCUUCGUUUGCAGGACUAAUGACCCUUUCGAGCUCCUCUUGUUAGAGCGGGCUCUACGACCGCGACCCCAGGUCAGGCGGGACUACCCGCUGAGUUUAAGCAUAUCAAUAAGCGGAGGAAAAGAAACUUACCAGGAUUCCCCUAGUACGCGAG
Molecule: ribosomal RNA, 832 nt
Filed under: Convolvulus scoparius
Lineage: Eukaryota; Viridiplantae; Streptophyta; Magnoliopsida; Solanales; Convolvulaceae
Description: eukaryotic LSU rRNA
Rfam family: 5.8S ribosomal RNA (bases 359-514)
Source: RNAcentral